UAGGGAAUCUUCCGCAAUGGACGAAAGUCUGACGGAGCAACGCCGCGUGAGUGAAGAAGGAUUUCGGUUCGUAAAACUCUGUUGUUAGGGAAGAAAAAAUGUAUAGUAACUAUAUACAAAAGAGACGGUACCUAACCAGAAAGCCACGGCUAACUACGUGCCAGCAGCCGCGGUAAUACGUAGGUGGCAAGCGUUGUCCGGAAUUAUUGGGCGUAAAGCGCGCGCAGGUGGUUUAGAAAGUCUGAUGUGAAAGCCCACGGCUCAACCGUGGAGGGUCAUUGGAAACUAAUAAACUUGAGUGCAGGAGAGUAAAGUGGAAUUCCUAGUGUAGCGGUGAAAUGCGUAGAGAUUAGGAGGAACACCGGUGGCGAAAGCGGCUUUUUGGCCUGCAACUGACACUGAGGCGCGAAAGCGUGGGGAGCAAACAGG
This 429-nucleotide ribosomal RNA is filed under the name Verrucomicrobiota bacterium. RNAcentral describes it as "Verrucomicrobia bacterium partial 16S ribosomal RNA". It matches the Rfam family "Bacterial small subunit ribosomal RNA", at positions 355 to 776 of the family's 1533-position model. The record is from RNAcentral. Lineage: Bacteria; Pseudomonadati; Verrucomicrobiota.